Molecule: long non-coding RNA, 249 nt
Filed under: Elaeis guineensis (African oil palm)
Lineage: Eukaryota; Viridiplantae; Streptophyta; Magnoliopsida; Arecales; Arecaceae
Description: long non-coding RNA (EGUI_LNC032768)
Source: RNAcentral
AGAUUGAACCCAAAGCUUUGCUGAAAGAACACUUACUUUUAGCCAAAGAUCCCUCAAGUCUAUUGAUGAGUGGAAUGAAGAUGUGUGAUCAUGUGUUAAACACCAGUAAUGAAAGGUCUAUUUAUAAGCCCAUGGAUCUUCUCAAGUUAAUAUAAUCUAUUGUUAAUCAAGAUAAUGAGCUGGUAGAAUGAGAGGAUGAUAAUUUUUUAUUAAAAAAAUUAGGCUGUUUUACACAUGAGUAGUGAGAGU